GAAAUGCGAUAAGUAAUGUGAAUUGCAGAAUUCCGUGAAUCAUCGAAUCUUUGAACGCACAUUGCGCCCUCUGGCAUUCCGGGGGACAUGCCUGUCCGAGCGUCAUUACGCACCCUCAAGCCCGGCUUGUGUGAUGGGCCCCGGCGUCUCGUUCGCGAGACGGGCCCGAAAGGCAGCGGCGGCGUCGACCCGAUGAGCCCGAGCGUAUGGGGACUUCUGUCACACGUUCGCGGUGCGGACCGGCGCCUGCUUGACUUUUCUGAUUAUCCAGGUUGACCUCGGAUCAGGUAGGGAUACCCGCUGAACUUAAGC
Molecule: unclassified non-coding RNA, 312 nt
Filed under: plant metagenome
Description: partial contains 5.8S ribosomal RNA, internal transcribed spacer 2, and large subunit ribosomal RNA
Rfam family: 5.8S ribosomal RNA (bases 1-105)
Source: RNAcentral